GGAAGAAUACAAAAAAAAAAAGAAGAAAAAAAAAACGCGUUGUGUACCAUUAGCCUGUUUUUUGGUGUCUGCUCUUUAUG
Molecule: non-coding RNA, 80 nt
Filed under: Chloropicon roscoffensis
Lineage: Eukaryota; Viridiplantae; Chlorophyta; Chloropicophyceae; Chloropicales; Chloropicaceae
Source: RNAcentral